AUUGAACGCUGGCGGCAGGCCUAACACAUGCAAGUCGAGCGAGCGGCGGACGGGUGAGUAAUGUCUGGGAAACUGCCUGAUAGCGGGGGAUAACUACUGGAAACGGUAGCUAAUACCGCAUACCAUCAGCUGUGCCCAGAUGGGAUUAGCUAGUCGGUGGGGUAAUGGCUCACCUAGGCGACGAUCCCUAGCUGGUCUGAGAGGUUGACCAGCCACACUGGAACUGAGACACGGUCCAGACUCCUACGGGAGGCAGCAGUGGGGAAUAUUGCACAAUGGGCGAAAGCCUGAUGCAGCAAUGCCGCGUGUGUGAAGAAGGCUUUCGGGUUGUAAAGCACUUUCAGCGGGGAGGCGGUACCCGAAGAAGAAGCAACGGCUAACUCCGUGCCAGCAGCCGCGGUAAUUC
Molecule: ribosomal RNA, 406 nt
Filed under: uncultured bacterium
Lineage: Bacteria
Description: partial 16S ribosomal RNA
Rfam family: Bacterial small subunit ribosomal RNA
Source: RNAcentral